UGGCGGCAGGCUUAACACAUGCAAGUCGAGCGGAGUGAUGGUGCUUGCACUAUCACUUAGCGGCGGACGGGUGAGUAAUGCUUAGGAAUCUGCCUAUUAGUGGGGGACAACAUUUCGAAAGGAAUGCUAAUACCGCAUACGUCCUACGGGAGAAAGCAGGGGAUCUUCGGACCUUGCGCUAAUAGAUGAGCCUAAGUCGGAUUAGCUAGUUGGUGGGGUAAAGGCCUACCAAGGCGACGAUCUGUAGCGGGUCUGAGAGGAUGAUCCGCCACACUGGGACUGAGACACGGCCCAGACUCCUACGGGAGGCAGCAGUGGGGAAUAUUGGACAAUGGGCGCAAGCCUGAUCCAGCCAUGCCGCGUGUGUGAAGAAGGCCUUAUGGUUGUAAAGCACUUUAAGCGAGGAGGAGGCUACUGAAGUUAAUACCUUCAGAUAGUGGACGUUACUCGCAGAAUAAGCACCGGCUAACUCUGUGCCAGCAGCCGCGGUAAUACAGAGGGUGCAAGCGUUAAUCGGAUUUACUGGGCGUAAAGCGCGCGUAGGCGGCUAAUUAAGUCAAAUGUGAAAUCCCCGAGCUUAACUUGGGAAUUGCAUUCGAUACUGGUUAGCUAGAGUGUGGGAGAGGAUGGUAGAAUUCCAGGUGUAGCGGUGAAAUGCGUAGAGAUCUGGAGGAAUACCGAUGGCGAAGGCAGCCAUCUGGCCUAA
This 706-nucleotide ribosomal RNA is filed under the name Acinetobacter calcoaceticus. Its description in RNAcentral is "bacterial SSU rRNA". It matches the Rfam family "Bacterial small subunit ribosomal RNA", at positions 37 to 737 of the family's 1533-position model. The record is from RNAcentral. Lineage: Bacteria; Pseudomonadati; Pseudomonadota; Gammaproteobacteria; Moraxellales; Moraxellaceae.